This is a long non-coding RNA of Lathyrus oleraceus (garden pea), 231 nucleotides long. RefSeq lists it as uncharacterized. The record is from RefSeq and is a predicted model, not a curated record. The transcript is spliced from 2 exons. Lineage: Eukaryota; Viridiplantae; Streptophyta; Magnoliopsida; Fabales; Fabaceae.
UCACAAUUUUCUUCAUCGUUCUCAUCAAAGCCUUGUCAACAUCAUGAAUUUGUGAGGAUUCCGUUUGAUUCUCCGACCGAGAUGGUUUGCUUGCCGGAACAUGCGGUGAGAUGAAGAGAUGCCAUGAUUAUGUUCAUACUCUUGUCCUGCCAAUUUAAGUUCACAUACGAAACUACGUAAGUUUUCACUUCAUUAGUAUUGAAUGAUUCUAUCAGGUACUUCUUCGCACCA